RNAcentral lists this ribosomal RNA (254 nucleotides) under uncultured bacterium. Its description in RNAcentral is "partial 16S ribosomal RNA". It matches the Rfam family "Bacterial small subunit ribosomal RNA", at positions 524 to 776 of the family's 1533-position model. The record is from RNAcentral.
UACGUAGGGGGGUAGCGUUGUCCGGAUUUACUGGGCGUAAAGGGCGCGUAGGCGGCCACCGCAAGUCAGUUGUGAAAUCUCUGGGCUUAACCCAGAACGGUCAGCUGAUACUGCGGGGCUAGAGUGCAGAAGGGGCAACUGGAAUUCUCGGUGUAGCGGUGAAAUGCGUAGAUAUCGAGAGGAACACCUGCGGCGAAGGCGGGUUGCUGGGCUGACACUGACGCUGAGGCGCGAAAGCUAGGGGAGCGAACGGG